This 240-nucleotide unclassified non-coding RNA is filed under the name soil metagenome. RNAcentral's name for it is "partial contains 5.8S ribosomal RNA, internal transcribed spacer 2, and large subunit ribosomal RNA". The record is from RNAcentral.
AACGCACGAGACCUGCGGACCUGCGGAGGGAUCAUUAAUGAGAAACUGCCCCUCGCGGGUAGAUCUCCCACCCUUUGUAAACUUACCUUUGUUGCUUUGGCAGGCCCGUCUCCGGACCGCCGGCUUCGGCUGGCCAGUGCCUGCCAGAGGGUUCUAAAACUCUGUCUGUCAGUGUUGUCUGAGUCUAUAUACAAUCGUUAAAACUUUCAACAAUGGAUCUCUAGAUCGGAAGAGCACACG